UCAUUUUCAACCUCUCCAUUCUACAAUAUCAAUCUCCUUUCUUUCUCAUUCUAUUCCAAUCUCCACAAUUUCUCCUUUUCUUUCUCACACUCAAUCCAAACAUCUCAAACUCAUUUCUCCUUCUUAAUCCAAACAUCUCAAUCUCAUUUCUCCUUCUCAAUCCAAAAAUCUCAAACUCAUUUCUCCAUCUCAACCUUCGUCUUUGUGUGCUCCCACUCAUUGAAAG
RNAcentral lists this long non-coding RNA (226 nucleotides) under Lupinus angustifolius (narrow-leaved blue lupine). RNAcentral's name for it is "long non-coding RNA (LANG_LNC003475)". The record is from RNAcentral. Lineage: Eukaryota; Viridiplantae; Streptophyta; Magnoliopsida; Fabales; Fabaceae.